GCCAGGUGUGGUGGCUCACGCCUGUAAUCCCAGCACUUUGGGAGGCUGAGAUGGGAAGAUCACUUGAGGCCAGGAGUUCAAGACCAGCCUGGUCAAUAUAGUGAGACCCCAUCUCAC
Macaca fascicularis (crab-eating macaque) is the source of this 117-nucleotide unclassified non-coding RNA. It matches the Rfam family "Metazoan signal recognition particle RNA". From Rfam's summary of the family: The signal recognition particle (SRP) is a universally conserved ribonucleoprotein. It is involved in the co-translational targeting of proteins to membranes. Lineage: Eukaryota; Metazoa; Chordata; Mammalia; Primates; Cercopithecidae. The record is from Ensembl.